RNAcentral lists this ribosomal RNA (494 nucleotides) under uncultured bacterium. RNAcentral describes it as "partial 16S ribosomal RNA". It matches the Rfam family "Bacterial small subunit ribosomal RNA", at positions 28 to 507 of the family's 1533-position model. The record is from RNAcentral.
GACGAACGCUGGCGGCGUGCUUAACACAUGCAAGUCGAACGGUGAAGCGCCUUCCUUUUUGGUGGGUGUGGAUGAGUGGCGAACGGGUGAGUAACACGUGAGUAACCUGCCCCCUUCUUCUGGAUAACCGCAUGAAAGUGUGGCUAAUACGGGAUAUUCUGGGUCUGUCGCUUGAUGGGUCUGGGAAAGCUUUUGUUUCGGUGGGUGAUGGUCUCGCGUCCUAUCAGCUUGUUGGUGGGGUGAUGGCCUACCAGGGCGGUGAGGAGUAGCCGGCCUGAGAGGGUGGACGGUAACAGAGGGGAGGAGAGACGGAGAAGACUACGAGAGGAGGCAGUAGGGAGGAAUAUGGAACGGGGGACAGAAGGAUGAUGCAGCGACGCGGCAGGAAGGAAGGAGGCCGUAGCGUUGUAAACUGCUAUCGGGAGUGAAGCAGGGUUGCAGUGAUUGUGGGUGGGUUGACGGUAGCUGGAUAAGAAGCGACGGCUAACUACGUG